This 136-nucleotide transfer RNA is filed under the name Loa loa (African eye worm). RNAcentral's name for it is "tRNA-Leu". It matches the Rfam family "tRNA". Rfam says of the family: Transfer RNA (tRNA) molecules are approximately 80 nucleotides in length. The record is from Rfam by way of RNAcentral. Lineage: Eukaryota; Metazoa; Nematoda; Chromadorea; Rhabditida; Onchocercidae.
GCACGGAUGGCCGAGUGGUCUAAGGCGCCAGACUCAAGCAACGCAAUGCUUCACACGAGAGUACAAUGUGUGUUACGAUCUAAAUGGGUGUUCUGGUAUCGUUAUCGAUGCGUGGGUUCGAAUCCCACUCCGUGCA